RNAcentral lists this ribosomal RNA (1231 nucleotides) under Bacillus subtilis subsp. subtilis. RNAcentral describes it as "bacterial SSU rRNA". It matches the Rfam family "Bacterial small subunit ribosomal RNA", at positions 26 to 1241 of the family's 1533-position model. The record is from RNAcentral. Lineage: Bacteria; Bacillati; Bacillota; Bacilli; Caryophanales; Bacillaceae.
AGGACGAACGCUGGCGGCGUGCCUAAUACAUGCAAGUCGAGCGGACAGAUGGGAGCUUGCUCCCUGAUGUUAGCGGCGGACGGGUGAGUAACACGUGGGUAACCUGCCUGUAAGACUGGGAUAACUCCGGGAAACCGGGGCUAAUACCGGAUGGUUGUUUGAACCGCAUGGUUCAAACAUAAAAGGUGGCUUCGGCUACCACUUACAGAUGGACCCGCGGCGCAUUAGCUAGUUGGUGAGGUAACGGCUCACCAAGGCGACGAUGCGUAGCCGACCUGAGAGGGUGAUCGGCCACACUGGGACUGAGACACGGCCCAGACUCCUACGGGAGGCAGCAGUAGGGAAUCUUCCGCAAUGGACGAAAGUCUGACGGAGCAACGCCGCGUGAGUGAUGAAGGUUUUCGGAUCGUAAAGCUCUGUUGUUAGGGAAGAACAAGUACCGUUCGAAUAGGGCGGUACCUGACGGUACCUAACCAGAAAGCCACGGCUAACUACGUGCCAGCAGCCGCGGUAAUACGUAGGUGGCAAGCGUUGUCCGGAAUUAUUGGGCGUAAAGGGCUCGCAGGCGGUUUCUUAAGUCUGAUGUGAAAGCCCCCGGCUCAACCGGGGAGGGUCAUUGGAAACUGGGGAACUUGAGUGCAGAAGAGGAGAGUGGAAUUCCACGUGUAGCGGUGAAAUGCGUAGAGAUGUGGAGGAACACCAGUGGCGAAGGCGACUCUCUGGUCUGUAACUGACGCUGAGGAGCGAAAGCGUGGGGAGCGAACAGGAUUAGAUACCCUGGUAGUCCACGCCGUAAACGAUGAGUGCUAAGUGUUAGGGGGUUUCCGCCCCUUAGUGCUGCAGCUAACGCAUUAAGCACUCCGCCUGGGGAGUACGGUCGCAAGACUGAAACUCAAAGGAAUUGACGGGGGCCCGCACAAGCGGUGGAGCAUGUGGUUUAAUUCGAAGCAACGCGAAGAACCUUACCAGGUCUUGACAUCCUCUGACAAUCCUAGAGAUAGGACGUCCCCUUCGGGGGCAGAGUGACAGGUGGUGCAUGGUUGUCGUCAGCUCGUGUCGUGAGAUGUUGGGUUAAGUCCCGCAACGAGCGCAACCCUUGAUCUUAGUUGCCAGCAUUCAGUUGGGCACUCUAAGGUGACUGCCGGUGACAAACCGGAGGAAGGUGGGGAUGACGUCAAAUCAUCAUGCCCCUUAUGACCUGGGCUACACACGUGCUACAAUGGACAGAACA